GUAUUUUGAAUUAUUUUAUUCGUAAUAUUUUUCAGACAAAGAGUUAAAGAGUUGGUUGAUGUUUGGUCGUUCCCAUAGAAGAGAACGACUGACAUUGCACACAAGGUGGAUAUGGAUUGUUUAAAAAGUGCCAUAAAACACUUAUUGUGAAUGAUCCUUCCGCAGGUUCACCUACGGAAA
RNAcentral lists this unclassified non-coding RNA (180 nucleotides) under uncultured fungus. RNAcentral describes it as "sequence contains ITS1, 5.8S rRNA gene". The record is from RNAcentral. Lineage: Eukaryota; Fungi.